AGGCUUAACACAUGCAAGUCGAGGGGCAGCCGUGUUUGUAGCAAUACAACUGCCGGCGACCGGCGCACGGGUGAGUAACACGUAUGUAACCUGCCCUCUGCAGGGGGAUAAGCGGAAGAAAUUCCGUCUAAUACCGCAUAAUACAAUUUGGAGACAUCUCCGGGUUGUCAAAGGAGUGAUCCGGCAGAGGAUGGACAUGCGGCGCAUUAGCUAGUCGGCGGGGUAACGGCCCACCGAGGCUACGAUGCGUAGGGGUUCUGAGAGGAAGGUCCCCCACACUGGUACUGAGACACGGACCAGACUCCUACGGGAGGCAGCAGUGAGGAAUAUUGGUCAAUGGGCGGAAGCCUGAACCAGCCAAGUCGCGUGAGGGAAGACGGUCCUAUGGAUUGUAAACCUCUUUUGCAGGGGAGCAAGGCGCGGUACGUGUACCGCGAAGGAGAGUACCCUGAGAAAAAGCAUCGGCUAACUCCGUGCCAGCAGCCGCGGUAAUACGGAGGAUGCCAGCGUUAUCCGGAUUUAUUGGGUUUAAAGGGUGCGCAGGCGGACUGUUAAGUCAGCGGUAAAAUGUCGGUGCUCAACACCGGCCGGCCGUUGAAACUGGCAGCCUUGUGUGAGCGAGAAGUAUGCGGAAUGCGUGGUGUAGCGGUGAAAUGCAUAGAUAUCACGCAGAACUCCGAUUGCGAAGGCAGCAUACCGGCGCUCAACUGACGCUCAGGCACGAAAGCGUGGGUAUCGAACAGGCUUAGAUACCCUGGUAGUCCACGCAGUAAACGAUGAAUGCUCACUGUCCGGGCCGUUUAAGGCCUGGGUGGUCAAGCGAAAGCGUUAAGCAUUCCACCUGGGGAGUACGCCGGCAACGGUGAAACUCAAAGGAAUUGACGGGGGCCCGCACAAGCGGAGGAACAUGUGGUUUAAUUCGAUGAUACGCGAGGAACCUUACCCGGGCUCAAACGGAAGGGGACAGUAUGAGAAAUCAUACAUUCCUUCGGGACCGCUUCCGAGGUGCUGCAUGGUUGUCGUCAGCUCGUGCCGUGAGGUGUCGGCUUAAGUGCCAUAACGAGCGCAACCCCUAUCGACAGUUGCUAGCAGGUAAAGCUGAGGACUCUGUCGAGACUGCCGGCGCAAGCUGUGAGGAAGGCGGGGAUGACGUCAAAUCAGCACGGCCCUUACGUCCGGGGCGACACACGUGUUACAAUGGCAGGUACAGCGGGAAGCCACCCGGCGACGGGGCGCAGAACCCGAAAACCUGUCUCAGUUCGGAUUGGAGUCUGCAACCCGACUCCAUGAAGCUGGAUUCGCUAGUAAUCGAGGAUCAGCCACGGCGCGGUGAAUACGUUCCC
Molecule: ribosomal RNA, 1343 nt
Filed under: uncultured bacterium
Lineage: Bacteria
Description: partial 16S ribosomal RNA
Rfam family: Bacterial small subunit ribosomal RNA
Source: RNAcentral